CCUAGAGUUGUAGGCUUUGCCUGCUAUCUCUCACCCAUGUCUUUUGAGUACCUUCGUUUCCUCGGCGGGUCCGCCCGCCGAUUGGACAAUUUAAACCAUUUGCAGUUGCAAUCAGCGUCUGAAAAACUUAAUAGUUA
Molecule: unclassified non-coding RNA, 137 nt
Filed under: soil metagenome
Description: partial internal transcribed spacer 1
Source: RNAcentral